RNAcentral lists this microRNA precursor (93 nucleotides) under Paramuricea clavata. The record is from RNAcentral. Lineage: Eukaryota; Metazoa; Cnidaria; Anthozoa; Malacalcyonacea; Plexauridae.
CUUUACCAAAUUUCUUAGCGAGUGUAUUUAAUGCAAAUAAACCUAAUUGGUUUAUUUGCAUUAGCUAAAUACACUCGCUAAGAAAUUUGGUAA